This 29-nucleotide non-coding RNA is filed under the name Mus musculus (house mouse). The record is from RNAcentral. Lineage: Eukaryota; Metazoa; Chordata; Mammalia; Rodentia; Muridae.
UACAUUAUUUUUACAUGUGGUCAAGUUGA